GCGCCAAUAGCUCAGUUGGAUAGAGCAACUGCCUUCUAAGCAGUAGGUCCUGGGUUCGAAUCCCCGUUGGCGCGCCA
RNAcentral lists this transfer RNA (77 nucleotides) under Oscillospiraceae bacterium. RNAcentral describes it as "tRNA-Arg". It matches the Rfam family "tRNA". Rfam says of the family: Transfer RNA (tRNA) molecules are approximately 80 nucleotides in length. Their secondary structure includes four short double-helical elements and three loops (D, anti-codon, and T loops). Lineage: Bacteria; Bacillati; Bacillota; Clostridia; Eubacteriales; Oscillospiraceae. The record is from RNAcentral.